UUGAUGGCGACCGGCGCACGGGUGAGUAACACGUAUCCAACCUGCCGAUGACUCGGGGAUAGCCUUUCGAAAGAAAGAUUAAUACCCGAUGGCAUAGUUCUUCCGCAUGGUAGAACUAUUAAAGAAUUUCGGUCAUCGAUGGGGAUGCGUUCCAUUAGGUUGUUGGCGGGGUAACGGCCCACCAAGCCUUCGAUGGAUAGGGGUUCUGAGAGGAAGGUCCCCCACAUUGGAACUGAGACACGGUCCAAACUCCUACGGGAGGCAGCAGUGAGGAAUAUUGGUCAAUGGACGAGAGUCUGAACCAGCCAAGUAGCGUGAAGGAUGACUGCCCUAUGGGUUGUAAACUUCUUUUAUACGGGAAUAAAGUGAGGCACGCGUGCCUUUUUGUAUGUACCGUAUGAAUAAGGAUCGGCUAACUCCGUGCCAGCAGCCGCGGUAAUACGGAGGAUUCGAGCGUUAUCCGGAUUUAUUGGGUUUAAAGGGAGCGUAGGCGGACGCUUAAGUCAGUUGUGAAAGUUUGCGGCUCAACCGUAAAAUUGCAGUUGAUACUGGGUGUCUUGAGUACAGUAGAGGCAGGCGGAAUUCGUGGUGUAGCGGUGAAAUGCUUAGAUAUCACGAAGAACUCCGAUUGCGAAGGCAGCCUGCUGGACUGUAACUGACGCUGAUGCUCGAAAGUGUGGGUAUCAAACAGGAUUAGAUACCCUGGUAGUCCACACAGUAAACGAUGAAUACUCGCUGUUUG
RNAcentral lists this ribosomal RNA (742 nucleotides) under uncultured bacterium. Its description in RNAcentral is "bacterial SSU rRNA". It matches the Rfam family "Bacterial small subunit ribosomal RNA", at positions 85 to 826 of the family's 1533-position model. The record is from RNAcentral.